UCACUGGUGUCUAUAUGUUUUAGUUGA
RNAcentral lists this non-coding RNA (27 nucleotides) under Mus musculus (house mouse). The record is from RNAcentral. Lineage: Eukaryota; Metazoa; Chordata; Mammalia; Rodentia; Muridae.